CUUGACCGUAGCCUGGAAUUGGGUUUGGGCUCUUCUUGCGCAGCCUAGGUGGGAGGCGUUGACAGUUCCCUUCCGGGGGAGCUUGAGCCAUCAGUGAGAGACCACUCUGGAGGAGCUAGAAUUCUAAUGGCGAUCCUUGAAUCAGGACGCUUGACAGUUUCAGGCGGGCAGUUUGACUGGGGCGGUCGCCUCAUAAAAGGUAACUGAGGCGUGCAAAGGUUCCCUCAGGCUGGACGGAAAUCAGCCGUAGAGUGUAAAGGCAGAAGGGAGCUUGACUGCAAGACUUACAAGUCGAGCAGGGGCGAAAGUCGGCCUUAGUGAUCCGACGGCGCUGAGUGGAAGGGCCGUCGCUCAACGGAUAAAAGUUA
Molecule: ribosomal RNA, 368 nt
Filed under: uncultured organism
Description: bacterial LSU rRNA
Rfam family: Bacterial large subunit ribosomal RNA
Source: RNAcentral